RNAcentral lists this ribosomal RNA (732 nucleotides) under Shigella sonnei. RNAcentral's name for it is "partial 23S ribosomal RNA". It matches the Rfam family "Bacterial large subunit ribosomal RNA", at positions 474 to 1207 of the family's 2925-position model. The record is from RNAcentral. Lineage: Bacteria; Pseudomonadati; Pseudomonadota; Gammaproteobacteria; Enterobacterales; Enterobacteriaceae.
UCCUGACUGACCGAUAGUGAACCAGUACCGUGAGGGAAAGGCGAAAAGAACCCCGGCGAGGGGAGUGAAAAAGAACCUGAAACCGUGUACGUACAAGCAGUGGGAGCACGCUUAGGCGUGUGACUGCGUACCUUUUGUAUAAUGGGUCAGCGACUUAUAUUCUGUAGCAAGGUUAACCGAAUAGGGGAGCCGAAGGGAAACCGAGUCUUAACUGGGCGUUAAGUUGCAGGGUAUAGACCCGAAACCCGGUGAUCUAGCCAUGGGCAGGUUGAAGGUUGGGUAACACUAACUGGAGGACCGAACCGACUAAUGUUGAAAAAUUAGCGGAUGACUUGUGGCUGGGGGUGAAAGGCCAAUCAAACCGGGAGAUAGCUGGUUCUCCCCGAAAGCUAUUUAGGUAGCGCCUCGUGAAUUCAUCUCCGGGGGUAGAGCACUGUUUCGGCAAGGGGGUCAUCCCGACUUACCAACCCGAUGCAAACUGCGAAUACCGGAGAAUGUUAUCACGGGAGACACACGGCGGGUGCUAACGUCCGUCGUGAAGAGGGAAACAACCCAGACCGCCAGCUAAGGUCCCAAAGUCAUGGUUAAGUGGGAAACGAUGUGGGAAGGCCCAGACAGCCAGGAUGUUGGCUUAGAAGCAGCCAUCAUUUAAAGAAAGCGUAAUAGCUCACUGGUCGAGUCGGCCUGCGCGGAAGAUGUAACGGGGCUAAACCAUGCACCGAAGCUGCGGCA